Molecule: unclassified non-coding RNA, 179 nt
Filed under: uncultured Pochonia
Lineage: Eukaryota; Fungi; Ascomycota; Sordariomycetes; Hypocreales; Clavicipitaceae
Description: sequence contains ITS1
Source: RNAcentral
CCGAGUUUUCUACUCCCAAACCCCUGUGAACUUAUACCUUUACCGUUGCUUCGGCGGGUUAACGCCCCGGAAAGGCCCCCGAAAGGGAGCCGCCCCGGAACCAGGCGCCCGCCGGGGGACCCAAACUCUUGCUUUGAACAGUGGCAUACUCUCUGAGUCUCACAAACAAAAAUGAAUCA